GACGAACGCUGGCGGCGUGCUUAACACAUGCAAGUCGAACGGAAAGGCCCUGCUUUUGUGGGGUGCUCGAGUGGCGAACGGGUGAGUAACACGUGAGUAACCUGCCCUUGACUUUGGGAUAACUUCAGGAAACUGGGGCUAAUACCGGAUAGGAGCUCCUGCUGCAUGGUGGGGGUUGGAAAGUUUCGGCGGUUGGGGAUGGACUCGCGGCUUAUCAGCUUGUUGGUGGGGUAGUGGCGUACCAAGGCUUUGACGGGUAGCCCGCCUGAGAGGGUGACCGGCCACAUUGGGACUGAGAUACGGCCCAGACUCCUACGGGAGGCAGCAGUGGGGAAUAUUGCACAAUGGGCGGAAGCCUGAUGCAGCAACGCCGCGUGCGGGAUGACGGCCUUCGGGUUGUAAACCGCUUUCGCCUGUGACGAAGCGUGAGUGACGGUAAUGGGUAAAGAAGCACCGGCUAACUACGUG
RNAcentral lists this ribosomal RNA (468 nucleotides) under uncultured bacterium. RNAcentral's name for it is "partial 16S ribosomal RNA". It matches the Rfam family "Bacterial small subunit ribosomal RNA", at positions 28 to 507 of the family's 1533-position model. The record is from RNAcentral.